RNAcentral lists this ribosomal RNA (425 nucleotides) under uncultured bacterium. RNAcentral describes it as "bacterial SSU rRNA". It matches the Rfam family "Bacterial small subunit ribosomal RNA", at positions 917 to 1344 of the family's 1533-position model. The record is from RNAcentral.
GGACCCGCACAAGCGGUGGAGCAUGUGGUUUAAUUCGAUGCAACGCGAAAAACCUUACCUACUCUUGACAUACUUGGAAGCUCUUGUAAUGAGAGUGUGCCUUUUGGAGCCAAGAUACAGGUGCUGCAUGGCUGUCGUCAGCUCGUGUCGUGAGAUGUUCCGUUAAGUCGGAUAACGAGCGCAACCCUUACCCUUAUUUGCCAGCGAUUCGGUCGGGAACUAUAAGGGGACUGCCGGUGAUAAACCGGAGGAAGGUGAGGACGACGUCAAGUCAUCAUGGCCCUUACGAGUAGGGCUACACACGUGCUACAAUGGGGAAUACAGACGGACGCUAAGCCGCGAGGUGGUGCUAAUCCCAGAAACGUCUCGUAGUCCGGAUCGGAGUCUGCAACUCGACUCCGUGAAGUCGGAAUCGCUAGUAAUCG